CACUUCCUGAUGGCCCCUGGAGGAAGUCUCCGUGCCUGUCAGUCCCUCUCAGGUCAUAAGGAAGUUCUCUGGCCCCUUCUCCCACAAACACAGCCCCCUCCCUACAUGAAAUACCCUUCAGCUCCCACAGCCACCACUGUAGAAGUCCCUGGCUGAGGCCUGUCCUGCAAGUGCCCCACAGGCUCUUCUGCUCCCUCCCGUCUCCUGCUUUCUAGGUCUUCACUCCUCCGUGUUUGGGAAGGAAGGGAGGAAGGGUGAGGAUCCCGACUACGGGGACCCUCUCCCUGGCCCCUGGACCACCUCAGGGCUUUGGCAGCCACUGACACAGACACCCUUGCCAGGGCACCCCUGCCCUUGCCCUUUGCCUCCUAGGUAAAGUCCCUUGAAGCCUGGUGUCUCUAAGCUGGGCUCCUAUGGCAGAGGGGACACACUCAAGCCCUUUGUCCUGACAACAUCCAGAACUCCAGGCCAUUGCUGAGGCAGCCAGGUGUGGACCUGGCUUCAGAACCACAGACCGUAAAAGAUUCAGAGUCAAGAUCACCAAUUAAUCUACUGGAAGGUCCAUCCCUUGUUUGAGGAAGACGCGAACGUGAUGAGGGAGGGGAGAUGAGACCGCUCGCCAGUGUUUUCCGAAUCUACAUGAUCUCUAUUCGCCUUUUAACUCACUGCUUCUGUGAGGGGAGUCUGCCAUCUCUCUGGGAUAUGAGAGGCAGACAGCUCCCUGGAUCAACCCCAGCUGCAGACAUGGCUACAGUUUGAAUGUAUCACCUCCAGAAUGCAAGAGCUGCCAAUGUGGAAGUGAGCUCCUUCCAAGAAGAGAUCACCGCAGAUAAGUCAGAGUGCAUGCAUUAAAGUCAAAACGAUUGGUGCCUUCAAGAGUAAGACCCCUGAAUCAUGCAAGGAGCUUCACUCAGAAAGAAGACCUUCAUCUCUACUUUCAGAAUGUUCUUCACGGCCCUCAAAUGAGGAUGGUGAUGAUGACGACUGUCAAGGCUCAAGCUCAGGCCAUUCCCUGCUGUGUGCCAUAAAUCAGUGCCCGAAGGGACAGGAAACAGAGGAGCCCAUGAGGGUGGUCGUCUCCAGAACAGACGCUCCCCAUUCAGCCACACUUGGCCUGGAUGUGCAUACCAGGUGUGAGGCUAUUGAUUCGAAUCUGGAUUAAGGAACCCCACUUCUCCAGGGCUCCAUGUGAGGACUAGCAGGGUGCUGCCAUCAGGUCAGGAAGUGGCUUGGAAAUGGGGGCUGUUCUCACUGCACAUCUGACAAGUUGGAUCCGCUCCAAUGCCCAGGAAGCUGGGGUGAAGAGGACAGUCUUUGGUGUGUGACACCCUGAAGCUCAAGUCCAGGAUGUGGGCUCUGAGGCGAGUUAGUUUAGCUCUGAGCAUCAGCGUUUCUCUCUGAAAGUGGAGUUGGCAGUGUCUUCGUCUGAGACUUCCUGUGAGAAUUCAGUACUGCAUGAAAAGUGGCCCAAAGUACAUAAUUAAUUAUUGCUCAUUAUUUUUAUUACUUCUAAGCUACUUCAUUACGUUGAUGUCCUUUCUGUAAUGAACAGCAUAUUAUAUUAAAAUAUAAGCUUAUUUAUUCAUGUAGCAGAUAUUCAUUAUGUGAUUAUUACGUGCCAAACUCUAGACUAGCUCUGGGUUAGAAAAAUGGAUAAGUCUAGGUCCCAUCUUCAAAGAGCUGGAAAGAUAGGAGAGAAAGUAGAUUCAUGCAAUUACCUAAAAUAAUAAUGAGAAUAACAACAAUAACAACUUGAGACCCCCAGUAUGUGCCAGUUCCAUUGGUGUGUGGGCUACGGAUUGCCAGGGUCACCCCACAGAGGACAGCUGAUGGAAUCAUAUUUAAACCUCAUGACAAUUGCCAAGUAUCUUAGCAGUUCAGGCUGCCGUAACAAAAUACCACAGACCAGGUGGCUUCAACAAGGGUGAUUUGUUUUCUCAUGAUUCUGGAGACUGAAAAUCUAAAAUCAAGGUUCCAGCAGGAUUGGUUCCUGGUAAGACUUCUCUCCUCAGCUUGUAGACAGCUGCCUAUGUGCUAUGUCUUCACAUGGCAGUGAGCAAGCUCUCUAGUAUCUCUUCAUAUGAGGACACUGACCCCAUCAUGAGGACCCACCCUC
Molecule: long non-coding RNA, 2116 nt
Filed under: Macaca mulatta (Rhesus monkey)
Lineage: Eukaryota; Metazoa; Chordata; Mammalia; Primates; Cercopithecidae
Description: lncRNA (ENSMMUG00000051159.1)
Source: RNAcentral